RNAcentral lists this non-coding RNA (37 nucleotides) under Methanosarcina acetivorans C2A. The record is from RNAcentral. Lineage: Archaea; Methanobacteriati; Methanobacteriota; Methanomicrobia; Methanosarcinales; Methanosarcinaceae.
AUUCGAAAGCAGGAUCCACUAAAACAAGAAUUAAAAC